Molecule: long non-coding RNA, 717 nt
Organism: Triticum dicoccoides
Lineage: Eukaryota; Viridiplantae; Streptophyta; Magnoliopsida; Poales; Poaceae
Exons: 3
Source: RefSeq, a predicted model, not a curated record
CUCCUGAACUGAUAGAUGCAGUUGCAGGUCAAAACAUUGUGAUAUGAGUUAUGAGUUGCAGUAGUACUACAUGAAGAUUAUAAAUUAGUACUAAUGCAUAACUAAGUAAUGAUAUCUAGCUUGAGCAGCUCAACUACGACGCACUGGAUACAGGCUAGGUAUACUGACAUCUUACGCAUAUCUUCGCUUUUAUUUCAGUUAUCACUUUUGGUGUAAAACUCUUUGUCUUCCAUUUUAUACAUGAUGUUACUUAGCUAUAUCAGUUAUGUUGUCCUGACCGGAUAGUUAUCUUUUCUGUAAGCGACACAGGUGGUUGCUGAUUGGUUGACAUUUUAAUUUGGACCUUACUUAAGUCGUACAAGUGUAGUGACACCAUUUUCCAUGUUGGUUUGUUUUGGUAAGCAUUUUCAUGUAUAAAAUGGAAUUGCCGGUCUGCGACUUUAUUACAUAUAGCUUUCAGCCUGAUUGAUCUUCAACAAAACAACAAACAAAAAGGAAAAGUAUGAUUACCGCAUGUCCCUGCUACUGCUCGUAUGGUAGUAUUUAGUAUAUAUCAUUAUUUGAUAUUGCAACUAAUUUAAUUCUUGUUAGGAUGCUUGUCCUAUGAAUGUGAUGCCCUCCACAAGAAACAGCCAGCUGCAUUAGGCAGACAUAAAUCUUCUUUGUUUCGGAACAUGGUGGCCCUUUGGUAGAGGUAUGUGAAUAUUCCAUUUACGC